This 467-nucleotide ribosomal RNA is filed under the name uncultured bacterium. RNAcentral describes it as "partial 16S ribosomal RNA". It matches the Rfam family "Bacterial small subunit ribosomal RNA", at positions 28 to 507 of the family's 1533-position model. The record is from RNAcentral.
GAUGAACGCUGGCGGCGUGCUUAACACAUGCAAGUCGAACGGUGAAGCAGAGCUUGCUCUGUGGCUCAGUGGCGAACGGGUGAGUAACACGUUAGCAAUCUGCCCCUGACUCUGGGAUAAGCGCUGGAAACGGCGUCUAUUACUGGAUAUGAGCUGCGACCGCAUGGUCAGCGGCUGGAAAGAUUUUUCGGUCUGGGAUGGUAUCACGGCGUCUCAGCUUGUUGCUGUGGUUAGGGCUCACCAAGGCGUCGCCGGGUAGCCGGCCUGAGAGGGUGACCGGGAACACUGGGACUGAGACAGGGCCCAGACUCAUACGGGAGGCAGCGGUGGGAAAGGGUGCACAAGGGGCGAAAGCCAGAUGCAGCAACGCCGCGGGAGGGAUGGCGGCGUUCGGGUUGUAAUCCUAUUUUAGCAGGGAAGAAGAGAAAGUGACGGUACCUGCAGAAAAAGCGCCGGCUAACUACGUG